AGAGUUUGAUCAUGGCUCAGGAUGAACGCUAGCGGCAGGCUUAAUACAUGCAAGUCGAGGGGCAGCAGGUUUGUAGCAAUACAAAUGCUGGCGACCGGCAAACGGGUGCGGAACGCGUACACAACCUUCCUUUAAGUGGGGAAUAGCCCAGAGAAAUUUGGAUUAAUACCCCGUAACAUUAUGAUGUGGCAUCACAUUAUAAUUAUAGCUCCGGCGCUUAAUGAUGGGUGUGCGGCUGAUUAGGUAGUUGGCGGGGUAACGGCCCACCAAGCCUUCGAUCAGUAACUGGUGUGAGAGCACGACCAGUCACACGGGCACUGAGACACGGGCCCGACUCCUACGGGAGGCAGCAGUAAGGAAUAUUGGGCAAUGGAGGCAACUCUGACCCAGCCAUGCCGCGUGGAGGAUGAAGGUCCUCUGGAUUGUAAACUUCUUUUAUAUGGGACGAAAAAGGGCCUUUCCAGGUCAACUGACGGUACCAUAGAAUA
Molecule: ribosomal RNA, 488 nt
Filed under: uncultured Terrimonas sp.
Lineage: Bacteria; Pseudomonadati; Bacteroidota; Chitinophagia; Chitinophagales; Chitinophagaceae
Description: bacterial SSU rRNA
Rfam family: Bacterial small subunit ribosomal RNA
Source: RNAcentral